This is a long non-coding RNA of Leucoraja erinaceus (little skate), 6248 nucleotides long. RefSeq lists it as uncharacterized. The transcript has 2 exons. NCBI's taxonomy places the organism in Eukaryota, Metazoa, Chordata, Chondrichthyes, Rajiformes, Rajidae. The record is from RefSeq and is a predicted model, not a curated record.
AUCAGAUUCAUGGCAGAGGUAAAUCUCAGGAAUUGCAGGAAAAUAUCACAUUGCAUUUUCCAUUCUCAUUCUAAAACCUGCUUCCUGUCUGAACAAUUCUCUCAUUUAGAUUGGAUUAUAACCUUGCAAAGAGUAUUCUGAAAAUUAAUUCUAAAAUGAUUUAUUGUGCUGGUGUUUAAAAUAGUACGGAGAGUUCCAACAAUUCAAUUAAUUUAUACUAUGAGAAAUUGACCCACACAGAGCAUGUUGGAGCAGUUAUAUGGGAAUCUGAAACAAGCCAGAUGCUUUCAAGAGAGAUUUAGCUCUUAGAGCUAAAGGAAUCAAGGAAUAUGGGGAAAAAGCAGGAAUGGGGUACUGAUUUUGGAUGAUCAGCCAUGAUCAUAUUGAAUGGCGAUGCUAGCUCAAAGGGCCAAAUGGCCUACUCCUGCACCUAUUUUCUGUUUAUGUUUCUAAGCCCUGUAGAAUCUGCUGCAGUCUUCUUCAUAGCACAGGAGUUAGAGAGCAGUGGGAAAUGGGAUAAUAAAGCUUACCAGCAUUCACUGUCAAAGGUUACCUGUUGACAGUGGAUUAUAGGGAUUGGAACAGAGGUCACCAAGCAGCAAUGGAAAUGUAUUGCAGCAAAUGUCUGCAGUUUUGAGCAAGAAAGUGAAUGGGUAAAGGUGUGCAUACAACUGAUCUCAAGUGUCUAACUUACCGUCAAAUAAAUCGUUUCAUAACAUAAAGAUUAAGCACGAGAGACACAAAGAACUGCAGUUGCUGGAAAGUUGAGGAAAACAUUAAGUGCUGGAGAAAGUCAGCGGAUCAGGCGGCAGUCUCAAAAAGGGUCCCGAUCCAAAACAUCACCUAUCCAUUUCCUUCACAGAUGUUGCCUGACUCGCUGAGUUCUUCCAGCACUUUGUGUUUUGAUAAGCAUUAAGAUAUAUUUAUGCUGUGGGUUUAAAAGUCAUAUUUGGGUUUGGUUUAUUUGGCAAUUUUAGCCUUCACUAGGAAUAUGGCACAGCACAUAACUCAUAUUUUGUCAGACCCUGCUGACAUUCUUCCCACUGAAAUUCAAGGAAUUAAAACACCAUGGAAUUUAAAAGUGACAGUGUUGGAUGUUGUUUGUCCAUUAUCAUAGCAGUGAAGGUAAAAAAUGAUUAUUUAAUCGCUGAUACUUACAAGACUGUUAUAUUUAACUGAAUAGGUGUAUAAAGAAAAAAAGUGAAGUAUUGCCAGAGAGGGAGUACAGAGAAGGUUCACCAGACUGAUUCCUGGGAUGUCAGGAUUUUCAUAUGAAGAAAGACUGAAUAGACUCGGCUUGUGCUCGCUAGAAUUUAGAAGAUUGAGGGGGGAUCUUAUAGAAACAUACAAAAUUCUUAAGGGGUUGGACAGGCUAGAUGCAGGAAGAUUGUUCCCGAUGUUGGGGAAGUCCAGAACAAGGGGUCAUGGUUUAAGGAUAAGGGGGAAAUCUUUUAGGACCGAGAUGAGGAAAACAUUUUUCACACAGAGAGUGGUGAAUCUUAGGAACUCUCUGCCACAGAAGAUAGUUGAGGCCAGUUCAUUGGCUAUAUUUAAGAGGGAGUUAGACGUGGCCCUUGUGGCUAAAGGAAUCAGGGGGUAUGGAGAGAAAGCAGGUACAGGAUACUGAGUUGGAUGAUCAGCCAUGAUCAUAUUGAAUGGCGGUGCAGGCUCGAAGGGCCGAAUGGCCUACUCCUGCACCUAAUUUCUAUGUUUCUAUGUUUCUAAAAAUGAUACUGCACAUUUCCCUUUGAUUAAUAAUUGUUUAACAAUCAACUCGGAAAUAAAGGUGGCAGGGGAAUACAUAAUAUACGGUAUGAAAUUCUUCCUCUUUCACAUUGUCAGAGUUGAGCUGUUUCCAUUCCAGUUUUGCGUGGAAGAUGUCAGUGCGUAAUUGAGGGCCUGUUUGAAAAGUUCAAUAGAGGUAACACUGAAUCACAAGCAAAGGAUCUAUAGGCUGGAGUGUUUCUCCCUCUCCCUCUAAUUCAAUGCACAUUGAAUGCAUAAUUUGUAGUUUCAAUCGCCGAGUUUCAUUUAAAAAUUUGACAAUCGGCUUUUACUGUCUUUCAUGAACCAUGAAAACCGACAAUACUUCAUUGCUUAUGGCCUUAUCUUCCAAGUGUUUGCCAUUAAAAUUUGCCUUAAUUUAUCACCAUUCCAUCAGCUUCUUCAACUCCAUUAAUUUCACUUCCCCCCCAAAAAUAUCUUCUGUGUUGUCACUGAAUAUCCUGCCUUACUGUUGGCCAUCUUGCUAGAUAAAUCUGCCCAAGAAUAAAAUUGCCUCUAAGUGGGGGAUUAAGGUUAGAAAGAGUUAAUUAGUGUUGGGUCAUAGGUUAGAACUGACACAAAGGACUGAUCUGAACUGAGGGUUGGGUCUGGAUUGGGAGGUUAUGUAAAGUUUAGGGCCACUACAUUUAAUUCAGAGGUGUGUUUGUUUAUUUUUUUUUUUAAAAAGGAUGUUCCAGAUCAGUCACACUUUUUGCACUGGAUAAAAUAUAAACUCCCCCUGCCUCUCAAUCCAAUAAAUGUGUAAUACCAUCACAAGCUGCUCCCUCUGUGGAGAUGAAGCUGCCGUGAGGAUUCCUGGUUUCAGUUAGUAGUAAUAUGUUUAGUUUUAAUUUAGUUUAGUGUUUUAUUGUCACGUGAACUGAGGCACAGUGAAAAGCUUUUGUUUGUGUGAUAUCUGACCAAAGAAAAGACUAUAACCGAGUACAAUCAAGCCACGCACAGUAUACAGAUAAAAUAUAAAGCUGACAACAUUUAGUGCAAGAUAAAGUCCAAUAAGAUCCAAUUAAAGGUAGUUCAAAGGCAAUGUCCUACGAGAUCGAUGGGAGGUUAGGACCGCACUCUAGCUGAUGAGAGGGCUGCUCAGUUGUCGGAUAACAGCUGGAAAAUAACUGUUCCUGAAUCUGGAGGUAUGGAAAAUGGAGAGCCUUUCCAGCUCACUACAAUGGACUUGAGUUAUUACAUUUGUAUUCAAUUGAAUUACAUUUCAAGGAGGCCAAGGUGUGCAUGCUUGCAAGGACAGAAGGUACAAAAGUGGUUAGUGCAGGGAUAGCAAUAGUAUCUAACCAGGGCGGCACGGUGGCGCAGCGAUAGAGUUGCUGCCUUACAGCGCCGGAGACCCGUGUUCGAUCCUGACUGUGGGUGUUGUCUGUACAGAGUGUGUACAUUCUCCCCGUGACCGCGUUGGUUUUCUCCGAGAUCUUCGGUUUCCUCCCACACUCCAAAGACGUACAGGUAUGUAGGUAAAUUAGCUUGGUAAAUGGGAAAAAAAUAUCCCUAGUGUGUGUAGUAUAGUGGUAAUAUGCGGGAAUCGCUAGCUGGCGCGGACCCAGUGGGCCAAAGGGCCUGUUUCCGCGCUGUAUCUCUAAACUAAACGAUCAAUGGUGUUAAAGUACUCUUUAAUUUAUAAUAUCACAGUCUUUUCUCAAAUAACUUUGGAAAACAAAAUACAUUUUUAAAAACCAAUCCAGUUUUUGUUUAGGCAGCAAUGCAGUGUAAUAAUUAGUGCUGCCACCUCACAGUUCCAGAAAUCUAGAUUCAAUCCUCAAUUUAGGCAGUGUCCAUGUGAAGUUUACCGAUUCUCCCAUUGGUCUCCUCCUGAUGCUACAGUUUCCUUGAACUUCCCAAAAGUGUACUGAUAGGUGACUGUACCAAGUGUACUGGUAGGUAAAUUUCUCCUUUCCCCUGACUCUCAGUCUGAAGAAGGGUCUCGACCCAAAACGUCACCUACCUAUAUUCCUUUUCUCCAGAGAUGCUGCCUGACCCAUUGAGUUAGUCCAGCUUUUGUGCCUAUCUUCAGUUUAAACUAGCAUCUGCAGUUCCUUCCUACACUGGUCGGUUAAUUGGCUGCUGUACAGUCUUAGUAGAUAUAAACAUAGACAUAGAAAAUAGGUGCAGGAGGAGGCCUUUCUGCCCUUCGAGCCAGCACCGCCAUUCAUUGUGAUCAUGGCUGAACACGUAUCAUCAAAAGAGACAAAGGGAAGUUGAUUGUUAUGUGAGAGAGAAUAAGUUGCAGGGACACAGGGAAAAAAAUGAGAUGGGGAAAUGAAACUAAUGGGAGCCAGCAUGAACCUAAUGGGGUGAAGGCCUUUUUUGAGUUGUAAUGCAUAACUAAUAUUAAGUGCAUUUUCUAAAAUUCAUAAGCACUCAUAUGUUCGUAUUUGCUCAGAGGGAUAAACUAAUCUCACUUUUUUUGUGACCUUGUUUGGUAUUCUUUAGACUUCAUUAAAUUAAUUGGGAAAUAGAGUGUAACAUUGGGAAAUGUUAGAUGGGUUAGAAAGGUUACAAAGAAUAGAUGGGAAGAAUCCAAGUUCAAUUUUCAAGACAGGACCAUAGAAUUUCUAAGGCAAUUCAAGAUGCACCUGUAUUUAUUUUUCAGUUGGAUAGGGCAAGUAAUAAUUUGUCAGUCACGGAAAUAAGAGAUAGCGAUAUUUCUACUAUUAAAUAUUAGAAAUCAGAAUCAUCAGAUGAUAUCUCUAAUUGCUGUGAGUGAAAAAAUAUGACUUACAUUUUUAAAUCAGACAGAGACGGCAUGAAGCCAUUACUUUUCUUGAUACUAAUUCCAUUUCUUUAAAAAAGAGAGCAAUGGAUUGGGAGGACAGGAAGGUAAAAGAGAGGAGGGCAUGAAGUGAAAUUAAAAGGGAGGGUUGAAGUGGGUUGAAAGUAAAAUACAUUUGCCAGCAGUUCUGCUCCCUUGUGAGAAGCACAAAGACAAGAACAAAUUGAAUAUGAGGAAAAACUGCAAAAGGAAGACAGAAAUAAUGGGAAGAAGCACAACAUAGAGAUUUUCAGCAGUUCCAGUUUGAUUUUCCGAUCAAGUGUAUCAGGAUUCACAACCCAAAAUGACUUUAAGAAGAAUCAUAGAGCUGCACCUCAAGACCUUAAGAUGCCUGGAAGCCAGCUCGAUAGACCCUCAAGAUUGAUGUUAAAAGCAGGCCAGGCAGUGCAAGAAACAGUUAACAUUUCAAGUCAAUGAACUCUGUUGGAAUGUUAACUCUGUUUUGCUCUCCACAUAUGCUGCAUGUCAUGCUGAGCAUUUCCAGCAUCAGUUUAGGUUAGUUUAGAGAUACGGCGCAGAAACAGGCCCUUUCGGCCCAUCAGGUCCACGCCAACCAGCGACCCCCACACAUUAACACUAUCCUAUGGACAAUUUUUACAUUUACCAAUCCAAUUAACCUAUAAACCUGUACGUGUUUGGAGCAUGGGAGGAAACCGCUCGGAGAAAACCCACGCAGAUCAUGGGGAGAACGUACAAACUCCGUACAGACAGCACCCGUAGUAAUACUCCGACGUGUAUUUGCUGUAAGGCAGCAACUCUACCACUGCGCCAUUGUGCAGCGUUCUCUACUCUUAUUUCAGAUUUCCGACAGGUUUUUUAUUUCCCUCCAUAUCUGGACCAGUUAAGUUUAAGUAUGGGAUACCUCGGGAGGUAGGUCCAUGAUGAGAAAAUUCACACCCACUGAGCUCUGACGUUACAGUGAUAGACAUAUAUACUCUUUGUUCAAUUCUUUGGAAUAAUGAUCCUAAUUUAUCUUUUACUAACAUAUAUUUGAAGAAAUUAUUUAAUAAAGAACAACACAUCUUCUGUGAUAUAUGUCAGGAAGGAACAAAAUUCGACAAAGUGUAUUUGAAUUUUUUUGUUUAGGGUUUGUCAUUAAGAACUUGUGCAUUUUUACAAUUCUGAAGGACUUGUAGACCUAUUCCAGUGAUUAAGAGAUUUUCAACAUUGGAAUAAAUAAGAUUUCAUAAAUGUAAACCCUGAUAAUGGCAAAUUGUCUUCUUUUAAAAAUAAUCCAACUUAACAUUCCAAUUUAUGCUGUUUAGUGUUUAGUAAAAACAAAUGUAUUUGGUGAUUUAUGAAAUGUAAGUAAUAAUAUAAGAUGGCCUCCAGAAUCAAAUUGGUCUAAGAUCACCAUUUAUUUUAUUUUUGUACUCUCAUGUGUGUAGUGGCCAAGGUCUCUUCCCUGGGAAUGACCAAGGGAUGUGGCAUUUGUUUUGGUGACCACUGGCAAGUACAAUUAUAAAUCAACUUGUAUCAAUGCUCUCCUUCUCUCGACUGUGGCUGAAAAUGCAUGCAUAAGCACUUUAGAUAAGGAUGGCAUCUGCUUGGUAUGAUGCCUCCUAUAUUAAUAUCACUGCCCAUGCUCACUAAACGUUCACCUAUGAAGUAAUGCAAGGUUGCCAGAGCAACUAUAAUCGUGCCACAGGAUGAGUUACUGCCGUCAGAACAAAAUGGGAAGACAAUU